RNAcentral lists this ribosomal RNA (253 nucleotides) under uncultured bacterium. RNAcentral's name for it is "partial 16S ribosomal RNA". It matches the Rfam family "Bacterial small subunit ribosomal RNA", at positions 524 to 776 of the family's 1533-position model. The record is from RNAcentral.
UACGGGGGGGGCAAGCGUUGUUCGGAAUUACUGGGCGUAAAGGGCGCGUAGGCGGCCUGCUAAGUCACACGUGAAAUCCCUCGGCUCAACCGGGGAACUGCGUGUGAUACUGGCGGGCUUGAAUUCGGGAGAGGGAUGUGGAAUUCCAGGUGUAGCGGUGAAAUGCGUAGAUAUCUGGAGGAACACCGGUGGCGAAGGCGGCAUCCUGGACCGGCAUUGACGCUGAGGAGCGAAAGCCAGGGGAGCAAACGGG